GGUGGAGUGACCGAGUGGCCAGGUCGCAGCCUGCAACGCUGCGUACGCAGGUUCGAAUCCUGCCUCCACCU
Molecule: transfer RNA, 71 nt
Filed under: Brevibacterium yomogidense
Lineage: Bacteria; Bacillati; Actinomycetota; Actinomycetes; Micrococcales; Brevibacteriaceae
Also listed under: 1 other name
Description: tRNA-Cys-GCA
Rfam family: tRNA
About the family: Transfer RNA (tRNA) molecules are approximately 80 nucleotides in length.
Source: RNAcentral